UGCCCUGCCUGUUUUCUCCUUUGUGAUUUUAUGAGAACAAAGGAGGAAAUAGGCAGGCCAG
RNAcentral lists this microRNA precursor (61 nucleotides) under Homo sapiens (human). Its description in RNAcentral is "Hsa-Mir-3173_pre stem-loop". Lineage: Eukaryota; Metazoa; Chordata; Mammalia; Primates; Hominidae. The record is from RNAcentral.